This 31-nucleotide non-coding RNA is filed under the name Bombyx mori (domestic silkworm). The record is from RNAcentral. Lineage: Eukaryota; Metazoa; Arthropoda; Insecta; Lepidoptera; Bombycidae.
UGCAACAGAUUUUGGCUGCCAGACGGCGAUA